CGUGUAGGCGGGUCUUUAAGUCAGGGGUGAAAUGCCAAGGCUCAACCUUGGAACUGCCUUUGAUACUGGAGAUCUUGAGUCCGGGAGAGGUGAGUGGAACUGCGAGUGUAGAGGUGAAAUUCGUAGAUAUUCGCAAGAACACCAGUGGCGAAGGCGGCUCACUGGCCCGGAACUGACGCGGAGACGCGAAAGCGUGGGGAGCAAACAGGAUUAGAUACCCUGGUAGUCCACGCUGUAAACGAUGGAUGCUAGCCGUUGGGGAGCUUGCUCUUCAGUGGCGCAGCUAACGCUUUAAGCAUCCCGCCUGGGGAGUACGGUCGCAAGAUUAAA
RNAcentral lists this ribosomal RNA (330 nucleotides) under uncultured bacterium. RNAcentral's name for it is "bacterial SSU rRNA". It matches the Rfam family "Bacterial small subunit ribosomal RNA", at positions 568 to 898 of the family's 1533-position model. The record is from RNAcentral.